GACAGAGGGUGCAAACGUUGUUCGGAUUUACUGGGCGUAAAGCGCGUGUAGGCGGCUUGGCAAGUCGGAUGUGAAAGCCCACGGCUCAACCGUGGAAGCGCAUCCGAAACUGCUUCGCUCGAGUCUCGGAGAGGAAGGUGGAAUGCUUGGUGUAGAGGUGAAAUUCGUAGAUAUCAAGCAGAACACCUGCGGCGAAGGCGGCCUUCUGGACGAUGACUGACGCUGAGACGCGAAAGCGCGGGGAGCAAACAGG
Molecule: ribosomal RNA, 253 nt
Filed under: uncultured bacterium
Lineage: Bacteria
Description: partial 16S ribosomal RNA
Rfam family: Bacterial small subunit ribosomal RNA
Source: RNAcentral